RNAcentral lists this ribosomal RNA (909 nucleotides) under uncultured bacterium. Its description in RNAcentral is "bacterial SSU rRNA". It matches the Rfam family "Bacterial small subunit ribosomal RNA", at positions 516 to 1427 of the family's 1533-position model. The record is from RNAcentral.
CGCGGUAAUACGUAGGUGGCAAGCGUGUCCGGGAUUUACUGGGCGUAAAGGAUGUGUAGGCGGAUACUUAAGUGAGAUGUGAAAGCCCCGGGCUUAACCUGGGGACUGCAUUUCAAACUGGGUAUCUAGAGUGCAGGAGAGGAAAGCGGAAUUCCUAGUGUAGCGGUGAAAUGCGUAGAGAUUAGGAAGAACAUCAGUGGCGAAGGCGGCUUUCUGGACUGUAACUGACGCUGAGGCAUGAAAGCGUGGGGAGCAAACAGGAUUAGAUACCCUGGUAGUCCACGCCGUAAACGAUGAGUACUAGGUGUAGGAGGUAUCGACUCCUUCUGUGCCGCAGUUAACACAAUAAGUACUCCGCCUGGGAAGUACGGUCGCAAGAUUAAAACUCAAAGGAAUUGACGGGGGCCCGCACAAGCAGCGGAGCAUGUGGUUUAAUUCGAAGCAACGCGAAGAACCUUACCUAGACUUGACAUCUCCUGAAUAGCGUAGAGAUACGUGAAGCCCUUCGGGGCAGGAAGACAGGUGGUGCAUGGUUGUCGUCAGCUCGUGUCGUGAGAUGUUGGGUUAAGUCCCGCAACGAGCGCAACCCUUAUCAUUAGUUGCUACCAUUAAGUUGAGCACUCUAGUGAGACUGCCCGGGUUAACCGGGAGGAAGGCGGGGAUGACGUCAAAUCAUCAUGCCCCUUAUGUCUAGGGCUACACACGUGCUACAAUGGUGAGAACAACGAGAUGCAAUACCGCGAGGUGGAGCCAAACUUGAAAACUCAUCCCAGUUCGGAUUGCAGGCUGAAAUUCGCCUGCAUGAAGUUGGAGUUGCUAGUAAUCGCGAAUCAGAAUGUCGCGGUGAAUACGUUCCCGGGCCUUGUACACACCGCCCGUCACACCAUGAGAGCUGGUAACACCCGAAGU